This is a small nucleolar RNA of Rana temporaria (common frog), 123 nucleotides long. RefSeq annotates it as small nucleolar RNA SNORA26. NCBI's taxonomy places the organism in Eukaryota, Metazoa, Chordata, Amphibia, Anura, Ranidae. The record is from RefSeq and is a predicted model, not a curated record. The transcript has a single exon.
UUGUCCAUUUAAAGCCACCCAUGCUUUGUAAUGGUUAACACAGGGGGGCAGAGCAUUUUCCUCACUAAAACGCAGUUUGGAGGCUCGUACCCUCCUCUCUGUAUCCUGUCGUGAGGUACAUCU